RNAcentral lists this unclassified non-coding RNA (195 nucleotides) under uncultured fungus. Its description in RNAcentral is "sequence contains ITS1, 5.8S rRNA gene". The record is from RNAcentral. Lineage: Eukaryota; Fungi.
UCGAGUUUUUGGCGGGGUUGUAGCUGGCCUUCCGAGGCAUUGUGCACGCCCUGUUCAAUCCGCUCUUACCCCUGUGCACUUAUUGUGGGCUUCGGAUGGCAAAGCCGGCUUAGGCAGGCGGAGCGUCCGUGCCUGCGUUUACCACAAAACCUGUAAAGUAAUCGAAUGUGUAUUGCGGUGUAACGCAUCUAUAUA